AGAAUUAUGGUGUACGCUGUUAUCGUCAUGUUCUAUGUCAGCUUCAUUUCCUUAUUAACGUCUGAUGACUUAAACAUUUGCGAGAAUGAAAUUACAGGUCAAAAUGAAUGCUGUACCGAUUAUAUGAAUAUUUCAGGAAUUUGUCAAGCUUGUAUUGGUUUUUACGGGAAAUAUUGCAAUUUACCAUGUCCGUUGGGAUUCUAUGGUCA
Saccostrea cuccullata (small rock oyster) is the source of this 209-nucleotide long non-coding RNA. RefSeq lists it as uncharacterized. Lineage: Eukaryota; Metazoa; Mollusca; Bivalvia; Ostreida; Ostreidae. The transcript is spliced from 3 exons. The record is from RefSeq and is a predicted model, not a curated record.